GACUUAGACUGGAGCACAUAUUCUAAAAUCAGAACAAUACGGAGAAAAUUAACAUGGCCCCUGUGCAAGGAUGACAUGCAAAUUUGUGAUGUGUUCGGUAUUAGA
Molecule: small nuclear RNA, 105 nt
Organism: Pteronotus mesoamericanus
Lineage: Eukaryota; Metazoa; Chordata; Mammalia; Chiroptera; Mormoopidae
Source: RefSeq, a predicted model, not a curated record